AAUGAACGCUGGCGGCAGGCCUAACACAUGCAAGUCGAGCGAGCAUUUCGGUGCUAGCGGCGGACGGGUGAGUAACGCGUGGGAACGUGCCCUUUUCUGCGGAAUAGUCCUGGGAGACUGGGGGUAAUACCGCAUACGCCCUUUUGGGGAAAGAUUUAUCGGAGAAGGAUCGGCCCGCGUUGGAUUAGGUAGUUGGUGGGGUAAUGGCCCACCAAGCCGACGAUCCAUAGCUGGUUUGAGAGGAUGAUCAGCCACACUGGGACUGAGACACGGCCCAGACUCCUACGGGAGGCAGCAGUGGGGAAUCUUAGACAAUGGGGGCAACCCUGAUCUAGCCAUGCCGCGUGAGUGAUGAAGGCCUUAGGGUUGUAAAGCUCUUUCAGCUGGGAAGAUAAUGACGGUACCAGCAGAAGAAGCCCCGGCUAACUCCGUG
RNAcentral lists this ribosomal RNA (433 nucleotides) under uncultured bacterium. RNAcentral describes it as "partial 16S ribosomal RNA". It matches the Rfam family "Bacterial small subunit ribosomal RNA", at positions 29 to 507 of the family's 1533-position model. The record is from RNAcentral.